RNAcentral lists this ribosomal RNA (305 nucleotides) under uncultured bacterium. RNAcentral describes it as "bacterial SSU rRNA". It matches the Rfam family "Bacterial small subunit ribosomal RNA", at positions 338 to 660 of the family's 1533-position model. The record is from RNAcentral.
CCUACGGGACGCAGCAGUGGGGAAUAUUGCACAAUGGGGGAAACCCUGAUGCAGCGACGCCGCGUGAGCGAUGAAGUAUUUCGGUAUGUAAAGCUCUAUCAGCAGGGAAGAAAAUGACGGUACCUGACUAAGAAGCCCCGGCUAACUACGUGCCAGCAGCCGCGGUAAUACGUAGGGGGCAAGCGUUAUCCGGAUUUACUGGGUGUAAAGGGAGCGUAGGUGGCAGGGCAAGUCAGAUGUGAAAACCCGGGGCUCAACCCUGGGAGUGCAUUUGAAACUGUCCAGCUGGAGUGCAGGAGAGGUAA